AAGAGUUUGAUCAUGGCUCAGAUUGAACGCUGGCGGCAUGCCUUACACAUGCAAGUCGAACGGUAACAGGGAGCUUGCUCCGCUGACGAGUGGCGAACGGGUGAGUAAUGUAUCGGAACGUGCCAUAGAGUGGGGGAUAACUAUCCGAAAGGAUAGCUAAUACCGCAUAUUCUCUCCGGAGGAAAGCAGGGGACCGCAAGGCCUUGCGCUCUUUGAGCGGCCGAUAUCAGAUUAGCUAGUUGGUGAGGUAAAGGCUCACCAAGGCGACGAUCUGUAGCGGGUCUGAGAGGAUGAUCCGCCACACUGGAACUGAGACACGGUCCAGACUCCUACGGGAGGCAGCAGUGGGGAAUUUUGGACAAUGGGGGCAACCCUGAUCCAGCCAUGCCGCGUGAGUGAAGAAGGCCUUCGGGUUGUAAAGCUCUUUCGGCCGGGAAGAAAUCGCACAGGCCAAUACCCUGUGUGGAUGACGGUACCGGAAUAAGAAGCACCGGCUAACUCUGUGCCAGCAGCCGCGGUAAUACAGAGGGUGCGAGCGUUGUUCGGAAUCACUGGGCGUAAAGAGCACGUAGGCGGGCUUACCAGCCAAUUGUGAAAUCCCCGAGCUCAACUUGGGAAUUGCAGUUGGAACAGUAAGUCUUGAAUCUCUCAGAGGGUGACGGAAUUCCUGGUGUAGAAGUGAAAUUCAUAGAUAUCAGGAGGAACACCGGAGGCGAAGGCGGUUGCCUGGGGGUAGAUUGACGCUGAGGUGCGAAAGCGUGGGUAGCAAACAGGAUUAGAUACCCUGGUAGUCCACGCCAUAAACGAUGGAUACUAGGUGCUCGAAUGUUUAACCGUUUGGGUACCGUAGCAAACGCAUUAAGUAUCCCGCCUGGGGAGUACGGUCGCAAGGCUAAAACUCAAAGGAAUUGACGGGGGCCCGCACAAGCGGUGGAGCAUGUGGUUUAAUUCGAUGCAACGCGAAGAACCUUACCUGGUCUUGACAUGCAGUGAACUUUGCAGAAAUGUAUUGGUGCCUUCGGGAACACUGACACAGGUGCUGCACGGCUGUCGUCAGCUCGUGUCGUGAGAUGUUGGGUUAAGUCCCGCAACGAGCGCAACCCCUGUCCCUAGUUGCCAGCACGUUAUGGUGGGAACUCUAGGGAGACUGCCGGUGACAAACCGGAGGAAGGUGGGGAUGACGUCAAGUCCUCAUGGCCCUUAUGGGUAGGGCUUCACACGUCAUACAAUGGUCGGUACAGAGGGUUGCCAACCCGCGAGGGGGAGCCAAUCCCACAAAGCCGAUCGUAGUCCGGAUCGCAGUCUGCAACUCGACUGCGUGAAGUCGGAAUCGCUAGUAAUCGUGGAUCAGCAUGUCACGGUGAAUACGUUCCCGGGUCUUGUACACACCGCCCGCCACACCAUGGGAGUGGGUUCCACCAGAAGUAGGUAGUCUAACCGCAAGGGGGGCGCUUACCACGGUGGGAUUCAUGACUGGGGUGAAGUCGUAACAAGGUAACCGUA
This 1503-nucleotide ribosomal RNA is filed under the name uncultured bacterium. Its description in RNAcentral is "16S ribosomal RNA". It matches the Rfam family "Bacterial small subunit ribosomal RNA". The record is from RNAcentral.